GGACGCCGAGGGGGCGCGCGCGGCCGCGAGGUGCGGAGCCGCGGGAAUGGAUGAGUAGGGCCGCCCUCCGUGGAAACACGGUUUUGAAGAGGGCCUGCGUACACGCUGGGCCCUUCACAUCUGUAGACGGUGGAGGCCAGGAGAAAGGAUACUGUGUGCGAUGAGGUAAAGCAUGUGAGAGUGCUUUGUAACCGGAAAGUGCCUUUCAAAACAGCUCCUGGUUUGCUGCUGGUACCUGAUAGAGAUGGAACUCCUGACCAUGGGACAUCAAGUGACUAUGUGAAUGAUCGAACUACUACUCGUCAUGAACUGGUGUUAUCUGAUUCACCAAUCAUACAACUGGAUGGGCAUAACAGCAGUUCACUCCCUACAAAACUGGGUACAUGGCCACAACUAAACUGAAUAAGCAGUAGAUUUUGGCAUGCCCAAAUCUGGAAGUGAAAAAAGCAACAACAACAAAAAAAACAGAGCAGCAAGGAAAAUCGGUAAGCUUUACCCUGCAGCAAAAAUAUCAAUCUGUUCUUAAGGAAUUAAGUGCUUCACAAAGGUGAGUUCUCCAUGUGACUAAGGCUUCAAUUAUUCAUCGUGGACAGUAACCCAGUGCAGUUUGAAGGUCCUUGUCAUUACAGGUGGCCUAGUAAAUGUUUGACAACUAGCUCACCAGGAAAGAAAAAAAAAAAAAGCUUUGAUUAUGGUGUUUGCAAAUUUCUUGGGGUAAAUAUCCCA
Molecule: long non-coding RNA, 726 nt
Organism: Felis catus (domestic cat)
Lineage: Eukaryota; Metazoa; Chordata; Mammalia; Carnivora; Felidae
Exons: 3
Source: RefSeq, a predicted model, not a curated record